RNAcentral lists this transfer RNA (66 nucleotides) under Medon piceus. RNAcentral's name for it is "tRNA-Ser". Lineage: Eukaryota; Metazoa; Arthropoda; Insecta; Coleoptera; Staphylinidae. The record is from RNAcentral.
AGUUAAUGAACUUGAAUAAGUAUAUAUUUUGAAAAUAUAACAUAGAGUCCAAAUCUCUAUUAACUU